Triticum urartu is the source of this 250-nucleotide non-coding RNA. NCBI's taxonomy places the organism in Eukaryota, Viridiplantae, Streptophyta, Magnoliopsida, Poales, Poaceae. The record is from RefSeq and is a predicted model, not a curated record.
GGACUAUCGAUGCUGUCAAGGCUGUGCUUGCUGCAGACAGGGUAACUGAUAGCAAAUAUGGUAAACUGCAGACUACAGCGUGUUUGGGGGGCCUCAAAACUUUGAAAAGUGGAUGGACGUGCACUCAGCUCCGUCUUGUCCUUCAGAGGCGAGGGCACCUGUUGAGCAGCUAAUAGGGCAGUUUGCAUCUGGAAUGACUGGCUUGCUCGGGAAGUUGGUUGAGGGGUGGACGUCCCUCAGUGGCUCUGAC